GCUGGGCAUGGUGGCGCGUGCCUGUAAUCCCAGCUACUCAGGAGGCUGAGGCAGGAGAAAUGCCUGAACCCAGGAACCCAGGAGGUGGAGGUUGCAGUGAGCCGAGAUCACGCCACUGCACUCCAGCCUGGGUAACAAAGCGAAACUCCGUCUCAA
Molecule: unclassified non-coding RNA, 156 nt
Organism: Callithrix jacchus (white-tufted-ear marmoset)
Lineage: Eukaryota; Metazoa; Chordata; Mammalia; Primates; Cebidae
Rfam family: Metazoan signal recognition particle RNA
About the family: The signal recognition particle (SRP) is a universally conserved ribonucleoprotein. It is involved in the co-translational targeting of proteins to membranes. The eukaryotic SRP consists of a 300-nucleotide 7S RNA and six proteins: SRPs 72, 68, 54, 19, 14, and 9.
Source: Ensembl